GAAAAUAAAACCACAUUAGGAGUUCCCCUCUUGAGAUCAUAUUGAUGAUCCAAGUAGCUCCCAUCCUUUGGAAUAAGCAGUCACAAACAAAUAUCUCAAGCCAUUAAGCACAGGUAAUCGGAAUAAACCUCCAGGGGGUAUCCCACAAAUAAAGUGGAACACCAGGCCAUCUCUGCAAGAGUCAUGUGAGCCCUCACAAAAAAAACUCAACAAACAGGUUAGAGAGAAAAAAAAAAGGGUAAUCAAGGGUUUCCCCCAAAUCAAAAUGUAACCACAUGAAUCAUGCCCUUUCAAUUCACAAAAAGCUCACAAAAAGCAACCAAGGGUAGGAGGCCUAAACCUCUU
This 345-nucleotide long non-coding RNA is filed under the name Lathyrus oleraceus (garden pea). RNAcentral's name for it is "Pisum sativum (pea) long non-coding RNA (PSAT_LNC027003)". The record is from RNAcentral. Lineage: Eukaryota; Viridiplantae; Streptophyta; Magnoliopsida; Fabales; Fabaceae.